RNAcentral lists this ribosomal RNA (791 nucleotides) under uncultured bacterium. Its description in RNAcentral is "bacterial SSU rRNA". It matches the Rfam family "Bacterial small subunit ribosomal RNA", at positions 8 to 796 of the family's 1533-position model. The record is from RNAcentral.
AGAGUUUGAUCCUGGCUCAGAUUGAACGCUGGCGGCAUGCUUUACACAUGCAAGUCGAGCGGCAGCGCGGGGCAACCUGGCGGCGAGCGGCGAACGGGUGAGUAAUAGAUAGGAACGUGUCCGGGAGUGGGGGAUAACUAGCCGAAAGGUUAGCUAAUACCGCAUAUUCUGUGCGCAGGAAAGCGGGGGACUGGUAACGGCCUCGCGCUCGCGGAGUGGCCUAUCUCCGAUUAGCUAGUUGGUGAGGUAAAGGCUUACCAAGGCGACGAUCGGUAGCUGGUCUGAGAGGAUGAUCAGCCACACUGGGACUGAGACACGGCCCAGACUCCUACGGGAGGCAGCAGUGGGGAAUUUUGGACAAUGGGGGCAACCCUGAUCCAGCCAUGCCGCGUGCGGGAAGAAGGCCUUCGGGUUGUAAACCGCUUUUAUUCGGGAAGAAGGAGUCCGGGUUAAUACCCUGGAUGACGGACGGUACUGGAUGAAUAAGCACCGGCUAACUACGUGCCAGCAGCCGCGGUAAUACGUAGGGUGCGAGCGUUAAUCGGAAUUACUGGGCGUAAAGCGUGCGUAGGCGGUUGGCAAAGUCAGCUGUGAAAGCCCCGGGCUUAACCUGGGAAUGGCGGUUGAAACUAGUCGACUUGAAUCUGGCAGAGGGGGGUGGAAUUCCACGUAGCAGUGAAAUGCGUAGAGAUGUGGAGGAACACCGAUGGCGAAGGCAGCCCCCUGGGCUGAGAUUGACGCUCAGGCACGAAAGCGUGGGGAGCAAACAGGAUUAGAUACCCUAGUAGUCC